Transfer RNA from Arenibacter nanhaiticus, 74 nucleotides. It matches the Rfam family "tRNA". Rfam says of the family: Transfer RNA (tRNA) molecules are approximately 80 nucleotides in length. Their secondary structure includes four short double-helical elements and three loops (D, anti-codon, and T loops). The record is from Rfam. Lineage: Bacteria; Pseudomonadati; Bacteroidota; Flavobacteriia; Flavobacteriales; Flavobacteriaceae.
GGCCGCGUGGCGCAACUGAAUAGCGCAUCAGAUUUCGGCUCUGAGGGUUGGGGGUUUGAAUCCCUUCGCGGUCA